CCUACGGGUGGCAGCAGUGAGGAAUAUUGGUCAAUGGGCGAGAGCCUGAACCAGCCAAGUAGCGUGAAGGAUGACUGCCCUAUGGGUUGUAAACUUCGUUUAUAAGGGAGUAAAGUGCGUCACGUAUUCCUUCUUGUAUGUACUUUAUGAAUAAGGAUCGGCUAACUCCGUGCCAGCAGCCGCGGUAAUACGGAGGAUCCGAGCGUUAUCCGGAUUUAUUGGAUUUAAAGGGAGCGUAGGUGGGUUGUUAAGUCAGUUGUGAAAGUUUGCGGCUCAACCGUAAAAUUGCAAUUGAAACUGGCAGACUGGAGUACAGUAGAGGUAGGCGGAAUUCGUGGUGUAGCGGUGAAAUGCUUAGAUAUCACGAAGAACACCGAUUGCGAAGGCAGCUAACUGGACUGCAACUGACACUGAUGCUCGAAAGUGUGGGUAUCAAACAGGAUUAGAUACCCGGGUAGUC
RNAcentral lists this ribosomal RNA (460 nucleotides) under uncultured bacterium. RNAcentral describes it as "partial 16S ribosomal RNA". It matches the Rfam family "Bacterial small subunit ribosomal RNA", at positions 338 to 795 of the family's 1533-position model. The record is from RNAcentral.